This 2931-nucleotide ribosomal RNA is filed under the name Escherichia coli. Its description in RNAcentral is "bacterial LSU rRNA". It matches the Rfam family "Bacterial large subunit ribosomal RNA". The record is from RNAcentral. Lineage: Bacteria; Pseudomonadati; Pseudomonadota; Gammaproteobacteria; Enterobacterales; Enterobacteriaceae.
GGGUUGUGAGGUUAAGCGACUAAGCGUACACGGUGGAUGCCCUGGCAGUCAGAGGCGAUGAAGGACGUGCUAAUCUGCGAUAAGCGUCGGUAAGGUGAUAUGAACCGUUAUAACCGGCGAUUUCCGAAUGGGGAAACCCAGUGUGUUUCGACACACUAUCAUUAACUGAAUCCAUAGGUUAAUGAGGCGAACCGGGGGAACUGAAACAUCUAAGUACCCCGAGGAAAAGAAAUCAACCGAGAUUCCCCCAGUAGCGGCGAGCGAACGGGGAGCAGCCCAGAGCCUGAAUCAGUGUGUGUGUUAGUGGAAGCGUCUGGAAAGGCGCGCGAUACAGGGUGACAGCCCCGUACACAAAAAUGCACAUGCUGUGAGCUCGAUGAGUAGGGCGGGACACGUGGUAUCCUGUCUGAAUAUGGGGGGACCAUCCUCCAAGGCUAAAUACUCCUGACUGACCGAUAGUGAACCAGUACCGUGAGGGAAAGGCGAAAAGAACCCCGGCGAGGGGAGUGAAAAAGAACCUGAAACCGUGUACGUACAAGCAGUGGGAGCACGCUUAGGCGUGUGACUGCGUACCUUUUGUAUAAUGGGUCAGCGACUUAUAUUCUGUAGCAAGGUUAACCGAAUAGGGGAGCCGAAGGGAAACCGAGUCUUAACUGGGCGUUAAGUUGCAGGGUAUAGACCCGAAACCCGGUGAUCUAGCCAUGGGCAGGUUGAAGGUUGGGUAACACUAACUGGAGGACCGAACCGACUAAUGUUGAAAAAUUAGCGGAUGACUUGUGGCUGGGGGUGAAAGGCCAAUCAAACCGGGAGAUAGCUGGUUCUCCCCGAAAGCUAUUUAGGUAGCGCCUCGUGAAUUCAUCUCCGGGGGUAGAGCACUGUUUCGGCAAGGGGGUCAUCCCGACUUACCAACCCGAUGCAAACUGCGAAUACCGGAGAAUGUUAUCACGGGAGACACACGGCGGGUGCUAACGUCCGUCGUGAAGAGGGAAACAACCCAGACCGCCAGCUAAGGUCCCAAAGUCAUGGUUAAGUGGGAAACGAUGUGGGAAGGCCCAGACAGCCAGGAUGUUGGCUUAGAAGCAGCCAUCAUUUAAAGAAAGCGUAAUAGCUCACUGGUCGAGUCGGCCUGCGCGGAAGAUGUAACGGGGCUAAACCAUGCACCGAAGCUGCGGCAGCGACGCUUAUGCGUUGUUGGGUAGGGGAGCGUUCUGUAAGCCUGUGAAGGUGUGCUGUGAGGCAUGCUGGAGGUAUCAGAAGUGCGAAUGCUGACAUAAGUAACGAUAAAGCGGGUGAAAAGCCCGCUCGCCGGAAGACCAAGGGUUCCUGUCCAACGUUAAUCGGGGCAGGGUGAGUCGACCCCUAAGGCGAGGCCGAAAGGCGUAGUCGAUGGGAAACAGGUUAAUAUUCCUGUACUUGGUGUUACUGCGAAGGGGGGACGGAGAAGGCUAUGUUGGCCGGGCGACGGUUGUCCCGGUUUAAGCGUGUAGGCUGGUUUUCCAGGCAAAUCCGGAAAAUCAAGGCUGAGGCGUGAUGACGAGGCACUACGGUGCUGAAGCAACAAAUGCCCUGCUUCCAGGAAAAGCCUCUAAGCAUCAGGUAACAUCAAAUCGUACCCCAAACCGACACAGGUGGUCAGGUAGAGAAUACCAAGGCGCUUGAGAGAACUCGGGUGAAGGAACUAGGCAAAAUGGUGCCGUAACUUCGGGAGAAGGCACGCUGAUAUGUAGGUGAAGUCCCUCGCGGAUGGAGCUGAAAUCAGUCGAAGAUACCAGCUGGCUGCAACUGUUUAUUAAAAACACAGCACUGUGCAAACACGAAAGUGGACGUAUACGGUGUGACGCCUGCCCGGUGCCGGAAGGUUAAUUGAUGGGGUUAGCGCAAGCGAAGCUCUUGAUCGAAGCCCCGGUAAACGGCGGCCGUAACUAUAACGGUCCUAAGGUAGCGAAAUUCCUUGUCGGGUAAGUUCCGACCUGCACGAAUGGCGUAAUGAUGGCCAGGCUGUCUCCACCCGAGACUCAGUGAAAUUGAACUCGCUGUGAAGAUGCAGUGUACCCGCGGCAAGACGGAAAGACCCCGUGAACCUUUACUAUAGCUUGACACUGAACAUUGAGCCUUGAUGUGUAGGAUAGGUGGGAGGCUUGGAAGUGUGGACGCCAGUCUGCAUGGAGCCGACCUUGAAAUACCACCCUUUAAUGUUUGAUGUUCUAACGUUGACCCGUAAUCCGGGUUGCGGACAGUGUCUGGUGGGUAGUUUGACUGGGGCGGUCUCCUCCUAAAGAGUAACGGAGGAGCACGAAGGUUGGCUAAUCCUGGUCGGACAUCAGGAGGUUAGUGCAAUGGCAUAAGCCAGCUUGACUGCGAGCGUGACGGCGCGAGCAGGUGCGAAAGCAGGUCAUAGUGAUCCGGUGGUUCUGAAUGGAAGGGCCAUCGCUCAACGGAUAAAAGGUACUCCGGGGAUAACAGGCUGAUACCGCCCAAGAGUUCAUAUCGACGGCGGUGUUUGGCACCUCGAUGUCGGCUCAUCACAUCCUGGGGCUGAAGUAGGUCCCAAGGGUAUGGCUGUUCGCCAUUUAAAGUGGUACGCGAGCUGGGUUUAGAACGUCGUGAGACAGUUCGGUCCCUAUCUGCCGUGGGCGCUGGAGAACUGAGGGGGGCUGCUCCUAGUACGAGAGGACCGGAGUGGACGCAUCACUGGUGUUCGGGUUGUCAUGCCAAUGGCACUGCCCGGUAGCUAAAUGCGGAAGAGAUAAGUGCUGAAAGCAUCUAAGCACGAAACUUGCCCCGAGAUGAGUUCUCCCUGACUCCUUGAGAGUCCUGAAGGAACGUUGAAGACGACGACGUUGAUAGGCCGGGUGUGUAAGCGCAGCGAUGCGUUGAGCUAACCGGUACUAAUGAACCGUGAGGCUUAACCUUACAACGCCGAAGGUGUUU